RNAcentral lists this ribosomal RNA (449 nucleotides) under uncultured bacterium. RNAcentral describes it as "partial 16S ribosomal RNA". It matches the Rfam family "Bacterial small subunit ribosomal RNA", at positions 354 to 796 of the family's 1533-position model. The record is from RNAcentral.
GUGGGGAAUUUUGGACAAUGGGCGCAAGCCUGAUCCAGCAAUGCCGCGUGCAGGAAGAAGGCCUUCGGGUUGUAAACUGCUUUUGUACGGAACGAAACGGUCCUGGCUAAUAUCCGGGGCUAAUGACGGUACCGUAAGAAUAAGCACCGGCUAACUACGUGCCAGCAGCCGCGGUAAUACGUAGGGUGCGAGCGUUAAUCGGAAUUACUGGGCGUAAAGCGUGCGCAGGCGGUGCUGUAAGACAGGCGUGAAAUCCCCGGGCUCAACCUGGGAAUUGCGCUUGUGACUGCAGUGCUGGAGUGCGGCAGAGGGGGAUGGAAUUCCGCGUGUAGCAGUGAAAUGCGUAGAUAUGCGGAGGAACACCGAUGGCGAAGGCAAUCCCCUGGCCUGCACUGACGCUCAUGCACGAAAGCGUGGGGAGCAAACAGGAUUAGAUACCCCUGUAGUCC